Molecule: small nuclear RNA, 114 nt
Organism: Toxotes jaculatrix (banded archerfish)
Lineage: Eukaryota; Metazoa; Chordata; Actinopteri; Toxotidae
Product: U5 spliceosomal RNA
Exons: 1
Source: RefSeq, a predicted model, not a curated record
ACUCUUGUUUCUUUUCAGAUCAUAUAAAUCUUUCGCCUUUUACUAUAGAUUUCCGUGGAGAGGAACAACAAGAAUUUUACUCAAUUUUUUUGAUGCUCUGCUUCUAGCGGAGCU